AAGUCGUAACAAGGUCUCCGUUGGUGAACCAGCGGAGGGAUCAUUACAGAGUUAUCAAAACUCCCAAACCCAUGUGAACAUACCUCGCGUUGCCUCGGCAGGUGGCGCCCCGCCCUGUGAGGGCCUACCCUGUAGGAGCUCACCCGGUGGUCGCCCCUGCCGACGGCCCACGGAACUCUGUUUUUAUAGCAUUAGACCUCUGAAAAGAUAACUAAAUAAGUUAAAACUUUCAACAACGGAUCUCUUGGUUCUG
RNAcentral lists this unclassified non-coding RNA (253 nucleotides) under Nemania sp. Its description in RNAcentral is "partial internal transcribed spacer region". The stretch from base 1 to 46 matches the Rfam family "Eukaryotic small subunit ribosomal RNA", at positions 1786 to 1831 of the family's 1831-position model. The record is from RNAcentral. Lineage: Eukaryota; Fungi; Ascomycota; Sordariomycetes; Xylariales; Xylariaceae.